This 301-nucleotide ribosomal RNA is filed under the name uncultured bacterium. RNAcentral describes it as "partial 16S ribosomal RNA". It matches the Rfam family "Bacterial small subunit ribosomal RNA", at positions 509 to 807 of the family's 1533-position model. The record is from RNAcentral.
CAGUAGCCGCGGUAAUACGGAGGGUGCAAGCGUUAAUCGGAUUUACUGGGCGUAAAGCGUGCGUAGGCGGCUUCUUAAGUCGGAUGUGAAAUCCCUGAGCUUAACUUAGGAAUUGCAUUCGAUACUGGGAAGCUAGAGUAUGGGAGAGGAUGGUAGAAUUCCAGGUGUAGCGGUGAAAUGCGUAGAGAUCUGGAGGAAUACCGAUGGCGAAGGCAGCCAUCUGGCCUAAUACUGACGCUGAGGUACGAAAGCAUGGGGAGCAAACAGGAUUAGAUACCCCAGUAGUCCCUGUCUCUUAUAC